Molecule: ribosomal RNA, 1346 nt
Filed under: uncultured bacterium
Lineage: Bacteria
Description: partial 16S ribosomal RNA
Rfam family: Bacterial small subunit ribosomal RNA
Source: RNAcentral
GACGAACGCUGGCGGCGUGCUUAACACAUGCAAGUCGAACGGAAAGGCCCUGCUUUUGUGGGGUGCUCGAGUGGCGAACGGGUGAGUAACACGUGAGUAACCUGCCCUUGACUUUGGGAUAACUUCAGGAAACUGGGGCUAAUACCGGAUAGGGGCUCCUGCUGCAUGGUGGGGGUUGGAAAGUUUCGGCGGUUGGGGAUGGACUCGCGGCUUAUCAGCUUGUUGGUGGGGUAGUGGCUUACCAAGGCUUUGACGGGUAGCCGGCCUGAGAGGGUGACCGGCCACAUUGGGACUGAGAUACGGCCCAGACUCCUACGGGAGGCAGCAGUGGGGAAUAUUGCACAAUGGGCGGAAGCCUGAUGCAGCAACGCCGCGUGCGGGAUGACGGCCUUCGGGUUGUAAACCGCUUUCGCCUAUGACGAAGCGUGAGUGACGGUAAUGGGUAAAGAAGCACCGGCUAACUACGUGCCAGCAGCCGCGGUGAUACGUAGGGUGCGAGCGUUGUCCGGAUUUAUUGGGCGUAAAGGGCUCGUAGGUGGUUGAUCGCGUCGGAAGUGUAAUCUUGGGGCUUAACCCUGAGCGUGCUUUCGAUACGGGUUGACUUGAGGAAGGUAGGGGAGAAUGGAAUUCCUGGUGGAGCGGUGGAAUGCGCAGAUAUCAGGAGGAACACCAGUGGCGAAGGCGGUUCUCUGGGCCUUUCCUGACGCUGAGGAGCGAAAGCGUGGGGAGCGAACAGGCUUAGAUACCCUGGUAGUCCACGCUGUAAACGGUGGGUACUAGGUGUGGGGUCCAUUCCACGGGUUCCGUGCCGUAGCUAACGCUUUAAGUACCCCGCCUGGGGAGUACGGCCGCAAGGCUAAAACUCAAGGGAAUUGACGGGGCCCCGCACAAGCGGCGGAGCAUGCGGAUUAAUUCGAUGCAACGCGUAGAACCUUACCUGGGUUUGACAUGGAUCGGGAGUGCUCAGAGAUGGGUGUGCCUCUUUUGGGGUCGGUUCACAGGUGGUGCAUGGCUGUCGUCAGCUCGUGUCGUGAGAUGUUGGGUUAAGUCCCGCAACGAGCGCAACCCUUGUUCACUGUUGCCAGCACGUUAUGGUGGGGACUCAGUGGAGACCGCCGGGGUCAACUCGGAGGAAGGUGGGGAUGACGUCAAGUCAUCAUGCCCCUUAUGUCCAGGGCUUCACGCAUGCUACAAUGGCUGGUACAGAGAGUGGCGAGCCUGUGAGGGUGAACGAAUCUCGGAAAGCCAGUCUCAGUUCGGAUUGGGGUCUGCAACUCGACCUCAUGAAGUCGGAGUCGCUAGUAAUCGCAGAUCAGCAACGCUGCGGUGAAUACGUUCCCGGGGCU